Molecule: ribosomal RNA, 253 nt
Filed under: uncultured bacterium
Lineage: Bacteria
Description: partial 16S ribosomal RNA
Rfam family: Bacterial small subunit ribosomal RNA
Source: RNAcentral
UACGGAGGGGGCUAGCGUUGUUCGGAAUUACUGGGCGUAAAGCGCACGUAGGCGGUGAAGCAUGUCAGAUGUGAAAGCCCUGGGCUUAACCUAGGAAUUGCAUUUGAAACUGCUUCGCUAGAGGCCGGAAGAGGGUAGUGGAAUUCCCAGUGUAGAGGUGAAAUUCGUAGAUAUUGGGAAGAACACCAGUGGCGAAGGCGGCUACCUGGUCCGGUUCUGACGCUGAGGUGCGAAAGCGUGGGGAGCAAACAGG